UUUCGUUCCUAAGUACUAGUGCCGCAGGAGAUUGACAUUUUAUAACAGCUCCUGCUGCUCCAGUGCUUAUCAAUGGAA
Orchesella cincta is the source of this 78-nucleotide microRNA precursor. It matches the Rfam family "mir-252 microRNA precursor family". The record is from Rfam. NCBI's taxonomy places the organism in Eukaryota, Metazoa, Arthropoda, Collembola, Entomobryomorpha, Orchesellidae.